GCCCCUAUAGCUUAGUGGUAGAGCGUCAGUCUUGUUAACUGAAGGUCUGUAAUUCGAUCCUGCCUAGGGGCA
RNAcentral lists this transfer RNA (72 nucleotides) under Nelumbo nucifera (sacred lotus). It matches the Rfam family "tRNA". From Rfam's summary of the family: Transfer RNA (tRNA) molecules are approximately 80 nucleotides in length. Their secondary structure includes four short double-helical elements and three loops (D, anti-codon, and T loops). Lineage: Eukaryota; Viridiplantae; Streptophyta; Magnoliopsida; Proteales; Nelumbonaceae. The record is from Rfam by way of RNAcentral.